RNAcentral lists this unclassified non-coding RNA (1789 nucleotides) under Hevea brasiliensis (rubber tree). The record is from RNAcentral. Lineage: Eukaryota; Viridiplantae; Streptophyta; Magnoliopsida; Malpighiales; Euphorbiaceae.
AUUACAUUGAGAAUAAAUUCCAAUUAAAAAAAAACACACAAAUCAGCACAUUUUACAAGGGGAAGUAACUUUCGGAGGAAGGGGAAAAGGAGAAAAAGAAAUUCUCAGUCAUAUGAAGGUUGCAAGGUUUACAGAGAUUGCAAGGUGACUAACCUCACAAAGAUUGAAGGCAGUGUACAACUGAUGGGCAGUGAUGGAAGCACAAUCAGCAUGCCCACCAAAAACAUCACGGAUACAGAAGACAAUCAAACGGAGUGAUUUGACUUGUCUGAUCUGUGACCUGUAUUGUUGUUCAACAUAAUUUCUCUUAUGGUUGCAUUGUUUCAUCUACAGCAAUCUUUGCUAUCAAACAACAUUUGAGCUCGUAGGGUUAUCAGACAAUAAAUGAAUAUAAUACUGGGUAACAAAUCUACUUUCUCCAUUAUGCAUACUCAGGAUUGAGUGCCAAGGCCUCUCUGUAAAUCAUUUCCUUCAUCUGCUCUUCUACCAAGGGCUGUUGCUCAAAAUCAAAAGAGAAUGGCACUGGGCACACUGGUUCAUCAGCUAUGUCAUGUAACCUUGCCAGAUAGGGAUGCGCUAAUGCUUCUUCAACAGUAAUUCUUCUUGUGGGAUCAAAUGUUAACAUUCGAUCAAUAAGAUCAAUGGCCAAAGGAUGAACAUGAGGGAAAACUUGGGCUAAAGGCUGACGAGGAUAUUGACUUAGUUGUCGGAUGUAUCUUCUAGCAUCUUCAUUCUUGACAAACCCAAGAUCUGCUUCAGUUGGCGUGCCAAGAAGCUCUGUUAAUAGGCGCAACUGAUGCACAUGAUCUUUGCCUGGAAAUAAAGGCUUUCUGUUCAUAAGUUCCAUAAAGAUGCAACCCACAGACCACACAUCUAUUGCAGCAGUGUAGUCUGAAGAGUUAAGCAAAAGCUCAGGUGCUCUAUACCAUCUGGUAACAACAUAUUCUGUCAUAAAUUCAUUCUCUGAAGUUGGCCGAGCUAAACCAAAAUCACAUAUCUUUAAGUCGCAAUUUGCAUUUAACAGCAAAUUACUGGGUUUUAGAUCUCUAUGAAUAAUAUUAGCAGAGUGUAUGCAUUUCAGCCCUCGAAGAAUCUGAUACAGGAAGUACUGACAAUGCUCCUCUGACAAACUUUGGUUGGAGCGUAUAAUCUGAUGAAGAUCAGUGUCCAUGAGCUCUGUGGCAAUGUAGACAUCAGUAAAUUCUCUUCGUAAAGGUGGAGGAAUUACAUCUCUGAUAGCUACAACGUUCUCGUGAUCAAAAUGGCGAAGCAACUUAAUCUCUCGAAGCGUGCGUUUGGCGUCCAUAUGAUUUUCAAAAGCGUUAGCUAUCUUCUUUAUCGCUACCAUCUCAUUCGUCUCCGAAUUCAACACCGAACAGACAAUACCAUAAGCGCCACGGCCGAUCGGCAUGAUAGGAGGCCGAUAUUUCGACGUGAUUUCGAAAAGAUUACCGAAAAUGUUGUAUUGGACAAACUGGCCUCCGUGAGUUGGAACCGCCGGAAAUUCGCCGUCAGCCAUUUCCUUCCUCUAUAUGUCUCUCUCUCUCUUUCUAUUUGUGUAUAUCUCUCUCUGCUGAGACUCCUAUGAAAUUUAUACAAGUGAAAGAGGAGACUUAGUUUCUCAUUUUGACUUUAUUAAUAUUUAUUUCUAUUUUCGAAUAAUGAAAAAAAUAAAUAAAUAAAGGAUUUGUGACUUCGAGAGUGCUGCCUGUUUGAGUUCGGAGAAGAUGCUAGGAAAGAGAAAGGAAAACGGGCGAGAAACAAGAUUAAAGAGUCUGGGACACGUUGU